AUACGGAGGGUGCAAGCGUUAUUCGGAAUCACUGGGCGUAAAGGACGCGUAGGCGGGUUGGCAAGUCAGAUGUGAAAUCCAACAGCUUAACUGUAGAACUGCAUUUGAAACUGCUAACCUAGAGUAUGGGAGGGGGAGAUGGAAUUAGUGGUGUAGGGGUAAAAUCCGUAGAUAUCACUAGGAAUACCGAAAGCGAAGGCGAUCUCCUGGAACAUAACUGACGCUAAGGCGUGAAAGCGUGGGGAGCAAACAGGAUUAGAAACCCUAGUAGUCC
RNAcentral lists this ribosomal RNA (274 nucleotides) under uncultured bacterium. RNAcentral's name for it is "partial 16S ribosomal RNA". It matches the Rfam family "Bacterial small subunit ribosomal RNA", at positions 523 to 796 of the family's 1533-position model. The record is from RNAcentral.